RNAcentral lists this transfer RNA (192 nucleotides) under Drosophila ananassae. It matches the Rfam family "tRNA". Rfam says of the family: Transfer RNA (tRNA) molecules are approximately 80 nucleotides in length. Their secondary structure includes four short double-helical elements and three loops (D, anti-codon, and T loops). Lineage: Eukaryota; Metazoa; Arthropoda; Insecta; Diptera; Drosophilidae. The record is from Rfam by way of RNAcentral.
CCUUCGAUAGCUCAGUUGGUAGAGCGGUGGACUGUAGAGUUUCCAAGACCAGGUGUUUCCGAGGCAAAGUUGGCAGGACACUGGGCCAAACAAUACCACGGCUCAGGAUAUUGCUAAACUCUCGUGUCACACUUGCGCAUUCAUUUGGAUGUUGAAAUCCAUAGGUCGCUGGUUCAAAUCCGGCUCGAAGGA